This 87-nucleotide unclassified non-coding RNA is filed under the name Pseudomonas fluorescens. Lineage: Bacteria; Pseudomonadati; Pseudomonadota; Gammaproteobacteria; Pseudomonadales; Pseudomonadaceae. The record is from RNAcentral.
UGUAGGAGCUGGCUUGCCUGCGAUGCAGGCAACUCGGUCUGUCAGAAAACCGAGGUGAUGCCAUCGCGGGCAAGCCCGGCUCCCACA